This 492-nucleotide ribosomal RNA is filed under the name uncultured bacterium. RNAcentral's name for it is "partial 16S ribosomal RNA". It matches the Rfam family "Bacterial small subunit ribosomal RNA", at positions 29 to 507 of the family's 1533-position model. The record is from RNAcentral.
AGUGAACGCUGGCGGUUGGCCUAACACAUGCAAGUCGAACGGCAGCACAGUAAGAGCUUGCUCUUACGGGUGGCGAGUGGCGGACGGGUGAGGAAUACAUCGGAAUCUACUUUUUCGUGGGGGAUAACGUAGGGAAACUUACGCUAAUACCGCAUACGACCUACGGGUGAAAGCAGGGGAUCUUCGGACCUUGCGCGAUUGAAUGAGCCGAUGUCGGAUUAGCUAGUUGGCGGGGUAAAGGCCCACCAAGGCGACGAUCCGUAGCUGGUCUGAGAGGAUGAUCAGCCACACUGGAACUGAGACACGGUCCAGACUCCUACGGGAGGCAGCAGUGGGGAAUAUUGGACAAUGGGCGCAAGCCUGAUCCAGCCAUACCGCGUGGGUGAAGAAGGCCUUCGGGUUGUAAAGCCCUUUUGUUGGGAAAGAAAAGCGGCAGGUUAAUACCCCGCUGUUCUGACGGUACCCAAAGAAUAAGCACCGGCUAACUUCGUG